UACAGAGGUGUGAUUCCAGAUCAUGUACUCAGAGCUCCAUCAAGGCUGCUGUUCUCCUGGCCCACAUAAAGGUACCUGAUGCACCUGCUUAUGCUCCACACACCUCUGCAUAGAAAAUGGUUCUCUUCUAUUCUCUUCUCUUCUUUCAGGACAGUACAUGCUUUAGGUGGCAUUUAUGUGUGUCUGUAAGGGACCACUUCAGUGAGAUACCACCAUCUGUUUCUGCAGGUGAGCUGUAGAGCUGAUGUAUUUGUGGUUAGUUGAUGUCUUUAUUAAGUUCCAGCGAUGUGCCAAUUACUUUAGCUUUGUUUAAAAGUUCCUCAUCAGUACCAAAAAGAUUUUUAUAGACUAAAGCAUGAUUUUUAUGUUAAAAUUCUCAAGAUCAUUGGGAUCUGCAAGAAGAAAGAGCAGCUGCCUCCGCAGUCAUUGCUGAAGAUUGUCCUGGGAAUAAAUGCUGUAAGCUGGUAACCUGUGGGCUCUUGCAGAUGAUGUACAGAAGGAAGCCUUUUGCAGCAUGAGCACUUUGCUCUACCUAUGACAUCCAUGAUCUUUUUAAAAUAUAGUUUCAUUCCUAUGUAUGAGUUGUUCCUAUGCAUCAAUUCCUCUAUUUAAUUGCUGGAUUUUGCUUGUUUCUGUUCAGUCUGUGAUUUAUCUGUCUUCACAGAGAACAUUAGGCCUAGACCUUGCAGUCUCUGGUGCCAGAAGGAAAAGGCCUUUAGUGUUUUUCUUCAUUAAUUAGGUGUACUGCCCAGUGAUCCUACUGCUUAAGGCAGUGUCUCAGCAGACCGUGAGACAGGACCUUUCCCAAGAGAUCAUUCACCCCAAAACCAAAGCUGUAGAGCAGUAAACAGUGGUGAGAAGCAAAAGGACUUGCUGCUGCAGUAAAGCCAAGAAUGGAGUGCAGGUAUUUUAAUUCAAGGUACAACACCUAAACUCAGGAAGUGCUGACCUCCAGUAGCAUUUGGAAGUGAGAGACUUUUAAUCUCUCAGAUGGAGUUGCUAUACAAGGGGUUUAUUUCGUGGGCAAUGGUACACUCACCUAAUCCACUAUUGCUCCAGAUCGCUUUUGAAACUGAUUUAAUUGUGUCAGCCUUUCAUUUUUUCCCCUUUCUCAGUGUCUUCUGCUUCUAAUAGCAAUCUGAAAAUCAGUUUACUAAAGUGCCAUCAAAUAGCAUUCACAUGCGUAACUGUUUGCCUCAGCGUGUACUCAGCAAAAUGUAGAUGAGUGUAAUGGUAUAUAAUGCACUGUGCCUGGAAAAGUGCAAAGAGAGUCAGAAGAGAUUAUGAAACAAUGCAGCUCUGCUUUAAGACCUCACUGUGAACACUAAUGUUUUGAGCUCAGUAGGAGAUAAAAUCUAUUGCUGUAUUUAAAGGCAUUCUUGGACUACAGAUGAUAUCUGUUUCAUGAAUAUAGGCUGUGAUGAGGACAUUCUUCAAGUGGGGAAAAAUGAACUAACAGAAUAAAGCUUUCUGAUUAAUUUAGAAUUGGGACA
This 1493-nucleotide long non-coding RNA is filed under the name Anser brachyrhynchus (Pink-footed goose). RNAcentral describes it as "lncRNA (ENSABRG00000007828.1)". The record is from RNAcentral. Lineage: Eukaryota; Metazoa; Chordata; Aves; Anseriformes; Anatidae.